GAUGAACGCUGGCGGCGUGCCUAAUACAUGCAAGUCGAGCGAACGGACGAGAAGCUUGCUUCUCUGAUGUUAGCGGCGGACGGGUGAGUAACACGUGGAUAACCUACCUAUAAGACUGGGAUAACUUCGGGAAACCGUAGCUAAUACCGGAUAAUAUUUUGAACCGCAUGGUUCAAUAGUGAAAGACGGUCUUGCUGUCACUUAUAGAUGGAUCCGCGCUGCAUUAGCUAGUUGGUAAGGUAACGGCUUACCAAGGCAACGAUGCAUAGCCGACCUGAGAGGGUGAUCGGCCACACUGGAACUGAGACACGGUCCAGACUCCUACGGGAGGCAGCAGUAGGGAAUCUUCCGCAAUGGGCGAAAGCCUGACGGAGCAACGCCGCGUGAGUGAUGAAGGUCUUCGGAUCGUAAAACUCUGUUAUUAGUGAAGAACAUAUGUGUAAGUAACUGUGCACGUCUUGACGGUACCUAAUCAGAAAGCCACGGCUAACUACGUG
Molecule: ribosomal RNA, 497 nt
Filed under: uncultured bacterium
Lineage: Bacteria
Description: partial 16S ribosomal RNA
Rfam family: Bacterial small subunit ribosomal RNA
Source: RNAcentral